UCCAGACUCCUACCGGGAGGCAGCAGUGGGGAAUAUGCACAAUGGAGGAAACUCUGAUGCAGCAACGCCGCGUGGAGGAUGACACAUUUCGGUGCGUAAACUCCUUUUAUAUGGGAAGAUAAUGACGGUACCAUAUGAAUAAGCACGGCUAACUCCGUGCCAGCAGCCGCGGUAAUACGGAGGGUGCAAGCGUUACUCGGAAUCACUGGGCGUAAAGCGCGCGCAGGCGGCUAUUUAAGUUGGAUGUGAAAGCUACGGCUCAACCGUAGAACUGCAUCCAAAACUAUUUAGCUAGAGUGUGGGAGAGGAAGAUGGAAUUAGUUGUGUAGGGGUAAAAUCCGUAGAGAUAACUAGGAAUACCAAAAGCGAAGGCAAUCUUCUGGAACACUACUGACGCUGAGGCGCGAAGGCGUGGGGAGCAAACAGGAUUAGAUACCCUGGUAGUCCACGCAGUAAACGAUGAAUGUUAGUCGUCGGGUAGCUAGUCUAUUCGGUGAUGCAGCUAACGCAUUAAACAUUCCGCCUGGGGAGUACGGUCGCAAGAUUAAAACUCAAAGGAAUAGACGGGGACCCGCACAAGUGGUGGAGCAUGUGGUUUAAUUCGAAGAUACGCGAAGAACCUUACCUAGCCUUGACAUAUAUUAGAACACUUUAGAGAUAGAGUGGUGCCUUCGGGAGCUUUUAUACAGGUGCUGCACGGCUGUCGUCAGCUCGUGUCGUGAGAUGUUGGGUUAAGUCCCGCAACGAGCGCAACCCUCGUCACUAGUUACUAACGGUUCGGCCGAGGACUCUAGUGAGACUGCCUUCGUAAGGAGGAGGAAGGUGAGGACGACGUCAAGUCAUCAUGGCCCUUACGGCUAGGGCAACACACGUGCUACAAUGGCCAGGACAAUGAGAAGCGAUACCGCGAGGUGGAGCAAAUCUAUAAACCUGGUCUCAGUUCGGAUUGUAGUCUGCAACUCGACUACAUGAAGCUGGAAUCACUAGUAAUCGUAGAUCAGCUAUGCUACGGUGAAUACGUUCCCGGGUCUUGUACUCACCGCCCGUCACACCAUGGGAGUUGAUUUCACCCGAAGCGGGGAAGCUAAACUGGCUACC
This 1098-nucleotide ribosomal RNA is filed under the name uncultured Campylobacterota bacterium. Its description in RNAcentral is "bacterial SSU rRNA". It matches the Rfam family "Bacterial small subunit ribosomal RNA", at positions 330 to 1454 of the family's 1533-position model. The record is from RNAcentral. Lineage: Bacteria; Pseudomonadati; Campylobacterota.